This 75-nucleotide transfer RNA is filed under the name Promethearchaeati archaeon. RNAcentral describes it as "Asgard group archaeon (marine sediment metagenome) tRNA-Lys". It matches the Rfam family "tRNA". Rfam says of the family: Transfer RNA (tRNA) molecules are approximately 80 nucleotides in length. Their secondary structure includes four short double-helical elements and three loops (D, anti-codon, and T loops). The record is from RNAcentral. Lineage: Archaea; Promethearchaeati.
GCGUGUAGCUCAGCCAGGUAGAGCGGUGGACUCUUAUUCCAUUGGCCGGGUGUUCGAAUCACCCCCCGCCCGCCA